GAUAUUGGGCAAUGGGGGCAACCCUGACCCAGCCAUGCCGCGUGAGGGAAUGAGGCCCUACGGGUCGUGAACCUCUUUUGACCGGGGACAAUGUCCCGCACGAGAUGCGGGAUUGAGGGUACCGGUGGAAUAAGCAUCGGCUAACUCCGUGCCAGCAGCCGCGGUAAUACGGAGGAUGCGAGCGUUAUCCGGAUUCAUUGGGUUUAAAGGGUGCGCAGGCGGCGGCGUAAGUCAGCGGUGAAAUCCCGGGGCCCAACCCCGGAAGUGCCGAUGAUACUGCGUCGCUGGAAUGCGGUCGAGGCGGGCGGAACGUGGCGUGUAGCGGUGAAAUGCGUAGAUAUGCCACAGAACGCCGGUAGCGGAGGCGGCUCGCCAGGCCUGCAUUGACGCUCGGGCACGAAAGCGUGGGGAUCGAACAGG
This 420-nucleotide ribosomal RNA is filed under the name uncultured bacterium. RNAcentral describes it as "partial 16S ribosomal RNA". It matches the Rfam family "Bacterial small subunit ribosomal RNA", at positions 359 to 776 of the family's 1533-position model. The record is from RNAcentral.